Molecule: ribosomal RNA, 227 nt
Filed under: uncultured Gardnerella sp.
Lineage: Bacteria; Bacillati; Actinomycetota; Actinomycetes; Bifidobacteriales; Bifidobacteriaceae
Description: partial 16S ribosomal RNA
Rfam family: Bacterial small subunit ribosomal RNA
Source: RNAcentral
GCCCCACUGCUCCAGAAUAGCUCUUGGAAACGGGUGGUAAUGCUGGAUGCUCCAACUUGACGCAUGUCUUGUUGGAAAGUGUUUAGUGGCAUGGGAUGGGGUCGCGUCCUAUCAGCUUGUAGGCGGGGUAAUGGCCCACCUAGGCUUCGACGGGUAGCCGGCCUGAGAGGGCGGACGGCCACAUUGGGACUGAGAUACGGCCCAGACUCCUACGGGAGGCAGCAGCA